GUGUGUAGGGCCCACAGACAUUGCCCUCGUACCUCUCAGAAGGGAGCAGCCUGCUGCCACCACCCAUCAUCUGUUGUGUGAGCUACCAGCUCCUGGGAGGUCUCUGCACUCUGCUGGGGCUUUCUGAUUUCAGGACCCACUCUGGUAUGCUGAGAUCCCCCACUUCACCGUGAAAUCCUCCUGAAGACAAGCUUAUCACCUUGACAAGCAAAUUCAUCACUAAGAUGCCCUUUCUUUUAAGAAGUAUGAAGAUCUGACUCUCCUGAAGCAAAAGAAAAAUGAUUUUAUCCUCUCGGGAUUUUGUUCAGUUAAAGCAUACACAGAAGAAUGUUUAUGGUGCAUGAAGUGGCAGGGGCAGGUGGCAUGAAUAUAUUGUUCCUCUAACAGUCGUCUUUAGAGCUGGCCAGAUGAGGAGGAAUGGGAUGAGUUACUCUUUAGAGAUGUUGUUGGUCUUCAUUUGGAGUUGAAGUUCUUGGAUAUAAAGUUAAAGACGUGGAUAUAAAAAGCACAGAGGGAUCCAUGACCAAACCCAGCAAUAGGAGAGAAGCUGAUGAGCUCAUGAUAAUGGAGUUAGACCAUUGAAACUGUUUCCUUGGCAUCUGUAGUGACUGCAGCAAGACCAAUAUAUUUCCAUGCCUUCUGAAAACUGGCCUAAGUAAACUUCUCCA
This is a long non-coding RNA of Cyanistes caeruleus (blue tit), 668 nucleotides long. RefSeq lists it as uncharacterized. NCBI's taxonomy places the organism in Eukaryota, Metazoa, Chordata, Aves, Passeriformes, Paridae. The record is from RefSeq and is a predicted model, not a curated record.